CAGCCGCCGCGGGAAUACGUAGGUCCCGAGCGUUGUCCGGAUUUAUUGGGCGUAAAGCGAGCGCAGGCGGUUAGAUAAGUCUGAAGUUAAAGGCUGUGGCUUAACCAUAGUACGCUUUGGAAACUGUUUAACUUGAGUGCAAGAGGGGAGAGUGGAAUUCCAUGUGUAGCGGUGAAAUGCGUAGAUAUAUGGAGGAACACCGGUGGCGAAAGCGGCUCUCUGGCUUGUAACUGACGCUGAGGCUCGAAAGCGUGGGGAGCAAACAGGAUUAGAUACCCCAGUAGUCCCUGUCUCUUAUACA
RNAcentral lists this ribosomal RNA (301 nucleotides) under uncultured bacterium. RNAcentral's name for it is "partial 16S ribosomal RNA". It matches the Rfam family "Bacterial small subunit ribosomal RNA", at positions 509 to 808 of the family's 1533-position model. The record is from RNAcentral.